RNAcentral lists this long non-coding RNA (1364 nucleotides) under Castor canadensis (American beaver). RNAcentral's name for it is "lncRNA (ENSCCNG00000000660.1)". The record is from RNAcentral. Lineage: Eukaryota; Metazoa; Chordata; Mammalia; Rodentia; Castoridae.
AAAACUUGCUCAGCCAGCCUACCUCAAGUCCAUAUAUGGAGUUCAAACACAAGUUCGGGAAAAGUCCUUCUGCAAUUCUAACACACACACCACACACACAGGCCCGGCGGCCGCCGCCACUCUCGCCCCUGGCCGCACGGUGCGUCUUUACGCUGACGUUCCUUCAGAAUGUGUAGGAUGGCUCACCUGCGUCCUGUCACUCCCGCCUUACCUUCCCACAUCAGGGAUUGGGCCAGAACCUCGAAUUCCCGCAUUACCCAAGCUCUCAACCCCCGACACGCCUUCCCACGGGUCCCUGGCUGCUGUCCAGUCUCUUCGUGGCUGUGUCAGCCUUUGGCACCCCCACAGGGUCUCGGGUGCGUUCUGGGGCGCGUGAGGCGAAGGGACGCCCCUGGCAGGGGGACUGCACCUCCCACUCGCGGAUGGCGGCCGCCGAGGAGGCGGGAGUUGGCUGCCGCCGAGGCCCGGGCGGCGGGCCCCGUCCGCGGCCGGCGCGCUCCUCGGUCCUCCCUCGCUCGUCUCCUUUGCUCAUAUUUGGACUCGGCUGCCCGUGCCCAGGAAUUUCCCGUCAUGCCUCCCGUCGCCCCGUCCGUCGCCCGGAGCCCGGAGGGAGGAGGGAGGCUCGGACAGCGGCGGCGGCUCGCGGGCCUUUCCAUGAGCGCGCGGCGGACCCUCCCGCGCCCCCUCUCGCUGGGCCUCUGUCUCUGCCUCUGCCUGGUCGCGGCGCGGGAUACCGCGCACCCCGCUCUUGCCCCUGUUCUUUGCCUCUCGUUUUGUUGGUGAAGCUAUCACAGUGAUGUCUGCAUUCAACCUGCUGCAUUUGGUGACAAAGAGCCAGCCAGCAGCCCUGCGAGCCUGUGGGCUUCCCUCAGGUUGCUGCUUGUUGUAUUGUUCAUACUGAGGGCACUGGUCUGAGUGGGUGUUUCUGCUGGAGGAAAUGGUACAACACCAUGCUUUCCUAAAUUUUGUUUUCUUUUAUUUGGGUCCUCAUUUGAAGAUGGAAAUUGGUUAUAAAUUACCACUCUACUUUGAGUAAAUUGAUUUCCACAAUUGAUACAACUCUGGGAAACAUUGUUCAGUUUCCUUGCCUAGUAUAUAAUUGUCACUAAUAUUUCAUGAUAUCUUCCUGUUCCUUAGUGCAUACUACACAUCUGCAAAUCAUAAUGUUCAUAAAGAGGCUGGCAGUCUUUGUAAGAAACUGCUCCAAAUCACACAAAAUAGGACAUUCAUUUUGUUAAAGGAUAAUGAGAAUGUGUUUCAUUCUACAUGUAGCUAUUCCUUUAGAAAAAAAAAUUAAAUGAACAAUUGUGGUGUAAUGGUUACUUAUUUAUUGUGGUUAAUAAAAAAAGAUGUUCUAUUUAACA